UCUCUCUCUCUCUCUCUCUCUCUCUCUCUCUCUCUCUGCAAAUGUACAUACCCAACAGUCAACUCACACCAGACACACACAGAAGAGCAGAGGGGGAGAGAGAGAGAGAGAGAGAGAGAGAGAGAGAGAGA
This 131-nucleotide microRNA precursor is filed under the name Prunus dulcis (almond). RNAcentral's name for it is "sRNA ncRNA". The record is from RNAcentral. Lineage: Eukaryota; Viridiplantae; Streptophyta; Magnoliopsida; Rosales; Rosaceae.